Molecule: ribosomal RNA, 222 nt
Filed under: Staphylococcus aureus
Lineage: Bacteria; Bacillati; Bacillota; Bacilli; Caryophanales; Staphylococcaceae
Description: partial 16S ribosomal RNA
Rfam family: Bacterial small subunit ribosomal RNA
Source: RNAcentral
UUUAUGGAGAGUUUGAUCCUGGCUCAGGAUGAACGCUGGCGGCGUGCCUAAUACAUGCAAGUCGAGCGAACGGACGAGAAGCUUGCUUCUCUGAUGUUAGCGGCGGACGGGUGAGUAACACGUGGAUAACCUACCUAUAAGACUGGGAUAACUUCGGGAAACCGGAGCUAAUACCGGAUAAUAUUUUGAACCGCAUGGUUCAAAAGUAAAAGACGGUCUUGC